This is a long non-coding RNA of Sceloporus undulatus (fence lizard), 1759 nucleotides long. RefSeq lists it as uncharacterized. The transcript has 3 exons. Lineage: Eukaryota; Metazoa; Chordata; Lepidosauria; Squamata; Phrynosomatidae. The record is from RefSeq and is a predicted model, not a curated record.
AUUUGGAUUCAGCAUGAUGGGUCAGUUGGUGAUUCAAUGGAUAGACCUUUGAGCUGGGAAGCUUGUUUUCUCUUUAGACAGUACUAUGUACCUCAGGACAAAAUAAUUUUGAUGGAUGUGAGGCAUGAAUCUGGAUCUACAGAAGAAGAAGAUCAGAAAGUCUGCAUGCAAAUUGGCAUCCUGGAACCUAGAACUGUGAAUGACUUCUCAGGGUUUUGUUUGUUUGUUCGAGGACUGCUAUCCUCAUGUCAGAAAUGGAAUGCUCAGAGAGACUGAAGGUGUCUGCAACAGAUGUCCAUAUAUCCUGGAAGCUGACUGAAUUCUUAUCUGAAGAAGAGUACAUAAAUGUUUCAUGAUGAAUAAGCUACAGGAAAAUAUGAAAAGGGUGAAUGUUACUUAGUCACCAUGUGGUAUUUGUCUGGAUGCUCCAUAGCUUUGCAUCACUGUGUCCCACCCCUGUGUCUGACACAGUAAUAGGUUGCAGUGUCAACUGCGGUAAGAGACCGCAACUGAAGGUAGAAUUCAUUUUUUGAUGUGUCCCUGGUGAUAGUGAUCCGGGUGCCAAACACUGAGUUGUAGUAGGGUUUGCCUUCUGCAGCAGUACUCCCAAUGCCACCCAUCCAUUCCAGCUUUCCAUCUGAAGACUGUCGGUUCCAUCCCCAAUACCAACCACUCACUUCAACACCAGCAACAAGGCAGGUCAGCUUGAAUGAUCCUCCAGGGUUCACUGCUUGUGCGUCAAACUCAGUUAGUUCAAGAGUGGAAGAAACACCUGUAAAAGCGGGACAGAAGUUAGAAUUGCACACUGGAGUCUUUUAGUGGAGGAUUCACAGGCCUGGAUCCUAUGACAACUCAACAAGGUCAACAAAAGCAAUGUUUCAUUCUCCCCACAUCCCAACUGUCCCUCUUGGUGUGUCUUGAGACAUCUCUGGAUUUUGUGAAGAAGACCUUCUCUACAACAUAGGAUAAUAGAGAGCUUCUGGAAAAUGGAAGAGAAAAGCUCCAGACUGGUUGAAGCUCUACUUGAUUUUAGGUUAUGUCCUUGUGCUCCAGAAACAUGCCAAUCCCAUUCAACCCUGUUGUUUAGGAGAGCUCCAUGAUGUACCAGAGAGGUUCUUUUAUGGGAUGAGCAUCUGCAAUGAGGAAAAAAUGGGAGACUUUCCUUCUGUGAAUUUCCUUAUAUUUGCUUCUUGUAAGAUACAAUUCUAACAUUUUGAGGCAGUAAAUACUCACCUGGAGAGAUGCUCAGUAAGAGGAGAAAAAUGGCUGUGGAUUUAAUUUCCCCCCCUUUACUCCCUCCCUUCUUUCUCUUUCCCACAGAAUAAACAGAUCUCAGCCAGAUCAUGGAGGAAGGUUAUUAUAUGAUGCUUUUUUAAAAAGAGGCACUAAUGGGGAAGAUUUGCAUGGAUGAGCAUCCAAUUCAUUGAAACGUCUGCAUUAACGAUAAGCCCAUUUACAUAAAGCACAAAGCAGGAGUGCUGAGUUAUCUGGUUUUUGUUUUAAAAAACUAAAAAGUAAAGCAAAGGAAGGAGAAUUUACAUAUAUUUAGAGUAGAAAAAGAAAUUAACCUCUACUUUCACCCUGAGUAGCGCACAUCAGGGGUUCCAAUGUGGCCCUGGUUAUAAAUAACACAUAGUCCUAUCAUAACAGCACCACAAGAUGCUCUAAUUCAGUGCUUUCCAACCUUUUCUAUGCCCAGCACCGCUAGAUGUUUGAUUAAUGUUUUCACCCCAUAUGAAAAUAAUAUCACAUUUGAAGA